Molecule: non-coding RNA, 36 nt
Filed under: Asterionellopsis glacialis
Lineage: Eukaryota; Bacillariophyta; Plagiogrammaphyceae; Rhaphoneidales; Asterionellopsidaceae
Source: RNAcentral
GAGGUCAAUGCCGAGUAAACCGGCGUUUGUACUGUG